RNAcentral lists this long non-coding RNA (701 nucleotides) under Phoenix dactylifera (date palm). RNAcentral's name for it is "long non-coding RNA (PDAC_LNC015074)". Lineage: Eukaryota; Viridiplantae; Streptophyta; Magnoliopsida; Arecales; Arecaceae. The record is from RNAcentral.
UUGCAUAUAGGAGAAGAGCGCCUCGAGGUCAUUCAGGAGGACGCGAUGUAGCUGCAGAUGACCUCGCAUGUGGAGUAGGAUCCAUAGACGUAUCAGGUUUCAAGUCGUAUACUAGAUUCUAUUAUCCACAGUUACAGACAACAUAUGACCCAUAUAGAUACGGAUAUAGAUAUGGUGCGUCUGAGGCAUCUUCUGACGGCUACUACCCUACAUAGCCUAGAGUAUCUUACGGGUCGGAUUUUGUUGCCGGUAUAUUCGGAUAGGCCCCUCUACAGCCGUAUUAUCAGCCAGAGGACACCUUUCAGAGCCAAAGCUUCAGCGAGAGAUCAUAGAGUGCUUAUAACCCGGUGUGCUUCCUUAUGGGAUGAACGUACAAAACUACAAUGCCGCUUCGUUAAAGGGGUGGGAUGAUGUGCCUCCUGACUAUGCUAAUGAUCCGGAUAUCUACGAAAGGCAUUACUACUUGAUCCGAUUUUAGAUAUCGGUAUGUUUGUUGAACUUUAAAAGUAUAUAAUUAAUCAUAUUAUUUUUUAAUUUUUACGUCACUAUGUUGGUCAUUUUAUGAUUUGUAUCAUUUUAAAGCAAUUAGAUGAAUCAUCUAUGUUAAACCUGGAUCAUAGAAAUAUAAAAAAAACAUCAAAAAAAUAUUUAAAAAAAUAUCAAAUUAGACUUAAAUUCAUAGAAAAAGUUUGAAAAGAGUG